This 1106-nucleotide long non-coding RNA is filed under the name Homo sapiens (human). RNAcentral describes it as "non-protein coding lnc-SLC35B3-4:1". The record is from RNAcentral. Lineage: Eukaryota; Metazoa; Chordata; Mammalia; Primates; Hominidae.
CGAUGCGAUCAACUGGAAGAAAGGGUAUCAGUGAUGGAAGAUGAAAUGAAUGAAAUGAAGCGAGAAGGGAAGUUUAGAGAAAAAAGAAUAAAAAGAAAUGAGCAAAGCCUCCAAGAAAUAUGGGACUAUGUGAAAAGACCAAAUCUCCGUCUGAUUGGUGUACCUGAAAGUGAUGGGGAGAAUGGAACCAAGUUGGAAAACACUCUGCAGGAUAUUAUCCAGGAGAACUUCCCCAAUCUAGCAAGGCAGGCCAACGUUCAGAUUCAGGAAAUACAGAGAACGCCACAAAGAUACUCCUCGAGAAGAGCAACUCCAAGACACAUAAUUGUCAGAUUCACCAAAGUUGAAAUGAAGGAAAAAAUGUUAAGGGCAGCCAGAGAGAAAGGUCGGGUUACCCUCAAAGGGAAGCCUAUCAGACUAUCAGCGGAUCUCUCAGCAGAAACCCUGCAAGCCAGAAGAGAGUGGGGGCCAAUAUUCAACAUUCUUAAAGAAAAGAAUUUUCAACCCAGAAUUUCAUAUCCAGCCAAACUAAGCUUCAUAAGUGAAGGAGAAAUAAAAUACUUUACAGACAAGCAAAUGCUGAGCGAUUUUGUCACCACCAGGCCUGCCCUAAAAGAGCUCCUGAAGGAAGCGCUAAACAUGGAAAGGAACAACCGGUACCAGCUGCUGCAAAAUCAUGCCAAAAUGUAAAGACCAUCGAGACUAGGAAGAAACUGCAUCAACUAACGAGCAAAAUAACGAGCUAACAUCAUAAUGACAGGAUCAAAUUCACACAUAACAAUAUUAACUUUAAAUGUAAAUGGACUAAAUGCUCCAAUUAAAAGACACAGACUGGCAAAUUGGAUAAAGAGUCAAGGCCCAUCAGUGUGCUGUAUUCAGGAAACCCAUCUCACGUGCAGAGACACACAUAGGCUCAAAAUAAAAGGAUGGAGGAAGAUCUACCAAGCCAUGGAAAACAAAAAAAGGCAGGGGUUGCAAUCCUAGCCUCUGAUAAAACAGACUUUAAACCAACAAAGAUCAAAAGAGACAAAGAAGGCCAUUACAUAAUGGUAAAGGGAUCAAUUAAACAAGAAGAGCUAACUAUCCUAAAUAUAUAUGCACCCAAU